This 1246-nucleotide long non-coding RNA is filed under the name Equus caballus (horse). Its description in RNAcentral is "lncRNA (ENSECAG00000035207.3)". Lineage: Eukaryota; Metazoa; Chordata; Mammalia; Perissodactyla; Equidae. The record is from RNAcentral.
AGAGGUUUGUACCUUUCUCUUAGAGGCAGCUGCAUCUUCCCAGGCACUCAGCACUCAUAUUUCAUUCUUCACUGUAGAGUUUUUCCUCUCGUAGUUUUGACUUACCCUGGCUGACACUGUGACAGUUACCUGACUGGUCACUUGAUCCCCUGCGACCCAGAAACAGUCAGCCUGGAGGGGUGUGGAGGCUCCACUACCCCUGGAGUUACAGGAAAUCGCCAUGAAACUGGAGGGGCCGGUGAGGUGGGCCAAGGAGUCAGCAUGGUCCUCAAAAGGCCUGCUACUGCCUUAAGGGGACGCACAUAUGAAUAACCCUCUUUGUGUUGCUGAAUUCUGACUGCUCAAGUCUCCAUCUACAGGAGCUUCAAGAGGUGGAUUUUUUUUCUAAAAGCUCCUCUGGAGACCUCACUCAGCACAGGACUCUCAGCAGCUCAUUCUAAUCCAGCUGCCAUCCCUGCCUCUGGCCUUGGCCCCAGUCCAGAAUGAGGACAUUUCUCAAUGGUUUAAGAGCUUCCUGCUUCUAGAAGAGCUCUAGUAACGAUGGUUUUUUUCAAAGAAGCAUACCCUUGGGAAGAAAUAUAAUUGUAAAUGAAGAUGUUACCGCUACUGGACUUCACACAAGAGAAGUGUGCCCCAGGGGCAAAUGACGCCCCCUGCAGGAGGAGCAGGGGAGGAAGGACAGCAGAGGUGCUGUGCUCUGCAGAGGAGCGGCAAUGAGAGCUGGGGACAGUGACAGGGAGAAGACCAUGAGGGCUCAGUGGCAUCACAGAGGGAAGAAGCCUGGGUCCAGAAAUGACCAUGAAGAAGACAUCCCACUAGCCAGAAACACCCAAUUGAAUAUUUUGGGAGUGUUAUUGGCAAAAAAAAAUAACCCCCUAGAGAUAUCCCCAUCCUAAUCCCCAUCACCUGUAAAUAUGUUACCUUAUAUGGCAAAAUGGACUUUGCCUGUGUGAUUAAGUUAACGAUCUUGACGUAGGGAGAAUAUUCUGGAUUAUUCAGAUAGGCCCACUGUAAUUGCAAGGAUCCUUCAAGGAAAAGAAGGAGGCAGGAAAGUCAGAUCAGAGGAGGCAAGGUGAGAGCAGGAGCAAGGUGAUUACUGGCUUUGAAAGUGGAGGUAGGGGCCACAAGCCAAAGAAUGCAGGUGGCCUUUAGAAGCUAGAAAAGGCAAGGGAAUGAACUCUUCAGAAGGAAUGCAGCUGUGUGGACACCUGGAAGGAAAUCCAUUGAGACCCAUGUCAGACUUCUG